AGAGUUUGAUCCUGGCUCAGGAUGAACGCUAGCGGCAGGCUUAACACAUGCAAGUCGAGGGGUAACAGGAUAGCUUGCUAUUGCUGACGACCGGCGCACGGGUGCGUAACGCGUAUAGAACCUACCUUUCACUAAGGGAUAGCCCAGAGAAAUUUGGAUUAAUACCUUAUGGUAUUAUUGAAUGGCAUCAUUUGAUAAUUAAAGAUUUAUUGGUGAAAGAUGGCUAUGCGUUCUAUUAGUUAGUUGGUGGGGUAACGGCCUACCAAGACAUCGAUAGAUAGGGGUCCUGAGAGGGAGAUCCCCCACACUGGUACUGAGACACGGACCAGACUCCUACGGGAGGCAGCAGUGAGGAAUAUUGGACAAUGGAGGCAACUCUGAUCCAGCCAUGCCGCGUGUAGGAAGACUGCCCUAUGGGUUGUAAACUACUUUUGUAUAGGAAGAAUUGGCAUUACGUGUAAUGUUUUGACGGUACUAUAAGAAUAAGGAUCGGCUAACUCCGUGCCAGCAGCCGCGGUAAUACGGAGGAUCCAAGCGUUAUCCGGAAUCAUUGGGUUUAAAGGGUCCGUAGGCGGGCUUAUAAGUCAGUGGUGAAAGUUUGCGGCUUAACCGUAAAAUUGCCAUUGAUACUGUAGGUCUUGAAUCAUUGUGAAGUGGUUAGAAUAAGUAGUGUAGCGGUGAAAUGCAUAGAUAUUACUUAGAAUACCGAUUGCGAAGGCAGAUCACUAACAAUGUAUUGACGCUGAUGGACGAAAGCGUGGGUAGCGAACAGGAUUAGAUACCCUGGUAGUCCACGCCGUAAACGAUGGUUACUAGUUGUUCGAACUUCGGUUUGAGUGACUAAGCGAAAGUGAUAAGUAACCCACCUGGGGAGUACGUUCGCAAGAAUGAAACUCAAAGGAAUUGACGGGGGCCCGCACAAGCGGUGGAGCAUGUGGUUUAAUUCGAUGAUACGCGAGGAACCUUACCAGGGCUUAAAUGUAGAGUGACAGGACUAGAGAUAGUUUUUUCUUCGGACACUUUACAAGGUGCUGCAUGGUUGUCGUCAGCUCGUGCCGUGAGGUGUCAGGUUAAGUCCUAUAACGAGCGCAACCCCUGUUGUUAGUUGCCAGCGAGUAAUGUCGGGAACCCUAGCAAGACUGCCAGUGCAAACUGUGAGGAAGGUGGGGAUGACGUCAAAUCAUCACGGCCCUUACGUCCUGGGCCACACACGUGCUACAAUGGUAGGGACAGAGAGCGGCCACUAUGUGAAUAGGAGCGAAUCUAUAAACCCUAUCUCAGUUCGGAUCGGAGUCUGCAACUCGACUCCGUGAAGCUGGAAUCGCUAGUAAUCGGAUAUCAGCCAUGAUCCGGUGAAUACGUUCCCGGGCCUUGUACACACCGCCCGUCAAGCCAUGGAAGCUGGGGGUACCUGAAGUCCGUCACCGUAAGGAGCGGCCUAGGGUAAAACUGGUAACUGGGGCUAAGUCGUAACAAGGUAGCCGUACCGGAAGGUGCGGCUGGAUCACCUCCUU
This 1514-nucleotide ribosomal RNA is filed under the name uncultured bacterium. RNAcentral's name for it is "bacterial SSU rRNA". It matches the Rfam family "Bacterial small subunit ribosomal RNA". The record is from RNAcentral.